UAAUAGCGUAUAUUAAUGUUGUUGCAGUUAAAAAGCUCGUAGUUGGAUUUUGGUGUUUGACAAAUGGUCUGCCUUUCGGUGUGCACUGUUUGUUGGCACUUCUUUUCUGGGGAACUCACUGCUCUUAAUUGAGGGGUGCUGUAACGCAGAUCGUUUACUUUGAAAAAAUUAGAGUGUUCAAAGCAGGUCAACGCAUUGAAUACAUUAGCAUGGAAUAAUGGAAUAGGACUUUGGUCUUAUUUUGUUGGUUUCUAAGGCCGAGGUAAUGAUUAAUAGGGAUAGUUGGGGGCGUUUAUAUUCCGUUGUCAGAGGUGAAAUUCUUGGAUUUACGGAAGAUAAACUACUGCGAAAGCAUUCGCCAAGGAUGUUUUCAUUAA
Molecule: ribosomal RNA, 377 nt
Filed under: uncultured eukaryote
Lineage: Eukaryota
Description: partial 18S ribosomal RNA
Rfam family: Eukaryotic small subunit ribosomal RNA
Source: RNAcentral